CCUACGGGAGGCUGCAGUGGGGAAUAUUGGACAAUGGGGGGAACCCUGAUCCAGCCAUGCCGCGUGUGUGAAGAAGGCCCUCGGGUUGUAAAGCACUUUCAGUGAGGAAGAACGCCUUGUGGGUAAUACCCAUCAGGAAAGACAUCACUCACAGAAGAAGCACCGGCUAACUCCGUGCCAGCAGCCGCGGUAAUACGGAGGGUGCGAGCGUUAAUCGGAAUUACUGGGCGUAAAGCGCGCGUAGGUGGCUUGAUAAGCCGGUUGUGAAAGCCCCGGGCUCAACCUGGGAACGGCAUCCGGAACUGUCAAGCUAGAGUGCAGGAGAGGAAGGUAGAAUUCCAGGUGUAGCGGUGAAAUGCGUAGAGAUCGGGAGGAAUACCAGUGGCGAAGGCGGCCUUCUGGACUGACACUGACACUGAGGUGCGAAAGCGUGGGUAGCAAACAGGAUUAGAUACCCCAGUAGUC
Molecule: ribosomal RNA, 465 nt
Filed under: Vreelandella stevensii
Lineage: Bacteria; Pseudomonadati; Pseudomonadota; Gammaproteobacteria; Oceanospirillales; Halomonadaceae
Description: partial 16S ribosomal RNA
Rfam family: Bacterial small subunit ribosomal RNA
Source: RNAcentral